CCUACGGGGGGCUGCAGUAGGGAAUAUUGCUCAAUGGGGGAAACCCUGAAGCAGCAACGCCGCGUGGAGGAUGAAGGUUUUCGGAAUGGUAACUCCUUUUGUUAGAGAAGAUAAUGACGGUAUCUAACGAAUAAGGACCGGCUAACUCCGUGCCAGCAGCGGCGGUAAUACGGAGGGUGCAAGCGUUACUCGGAAUAACUGGGCGUAAAGAGGGCGUAGGCGGGAUAGCAAGUCAGAUGUGAAAUCCUAUGGCUUAACCAUAGAACUGCAUUUGAAACUGUUAUUCUAGAGUAUGGGAGAGGUAGGUGGAAUUCUUGGUGUAGGGGUAAAAUCCGUAGAGACCAAGAGGAAUACUGAUUGCGAAGGCGACCUGCUAGAACAUAACUGACGCUGAUGCGCGAAAGCGUGGGGAUCAAACAGGAUUAGAUACCCGAGUAGUC
RNAcentral lists this ribosomal RNA (440 nucleotides) under uncultured bacterium. RNAcentral describes it as "partial 16S ribosomal RNA". It matches the Rfam family "Bacterial small subunit ribosomal RNA", at positions 338 to 795 of the family's 1533-position model. The record is from RNAcentral.